UUUCCUACGGGGGGCAGCAGUAGGGAAUAUUGCUCAAUGGGGGAAACCCUGAAGCAGCAACGCCGCGUGGAGGAUGAAGGUUUUCGGAUUGUAAACUCCUUUUGUUAGAGAAGAUAAUGACGGUAUCUAACGAAUAAGCACCGGCUAACUCCGUGCCAGCAGCCGCGGUAAUACGUAGGUGGCAAGCGUUGUCCGGAUUUACUGGGUGUAAAGGGCGUGUAGCCGGGUUGACAAGUCAGAUGUGAAAUCCUGCGGCUUAACCGCAGAACUGCAUUUGAAACUGUUGAUCUUGAGUACUGGAGAGG
Molecule: ribosomal RNA, 305 nt
Filed under: uncultured bacterium
Lineage: Bacteria
Description: bacterial SSU rRNA
Rfam family: Bacterial small subunit ribosomal RNA
Source: RNAcentral